This 685-nucleotide long non-coding RNA is filed under the name Homo sapiens (human). RNAcentral's name for it is "HSALNT0068719". Lineage: Eukaryota; Metazoa; Chordata; Mammalia; Primates; Hominidae. The record is from RNAcentral.
CCAUCCUGCUGACUUCCCAGGCUGUGGGGCAGAUGCUGCCGCUCGGAACCCACCCGUGCCCUGCAGACGUACAGGUGUGAGAAGUCUCCUCCCUCAUCAUCCCCUUCAGGCAGCAGCUACUGCUGAGGAGUUGGGGCCGCAUGUUGUGAGGGCCCCAUUCACAGCUUGGGAGCCAGGCUGCAGUGUUCAAGCUCAGCCCCUCUACCUCCUCCCUCCUCCUCUGGUUGGUGAGAAUGUGCUAGUCCUCCGGCUGGGUGUUGAAGGGACUCAACGAGCUAACGCGUCCAGCAUACCCAGCGCUUGGAAGUCGACACAGGCGUGACUGAGGGGAUUUGUCAUCGCCAUGAUUACUACUACAGCCACCCGAUUUACUGCUGUCUUUAGGAGUUUUCUGAUCAGACACACUGAGGACACGCAUGGUGAUUAUGUCUGUGGGUCAGUGUUAGUGUUAGCUAGUCAGUGUUGCCGUUGACUUAUCCCUUGUUUUGGAUUCCAUAACAUCUUCCCACUCAAAACUUUCAGCCGGGUUUCCACAAUCGCACGACUCGAAGCAUCCUCUAAGCUUUCCAGAGAGGGGCAGUUGUUUGUGUUAAUUGUGUCUUAUUUCCUAAUGAAUUUUUGUAUCUUAUAUGUAAAUAUUAUCAUGCAUGUUUUAAAGUAGAAUUCCCUUUCAGAUGGCUCUGAC